CCUUGCUACCAUGCCACCCUGAACGCUCCUGAUCUCAUCUGGUCAGAAGCUAAGCAGGAUCAGGCCUGGUUAGUAUUUGGUUGGGAGACCACCAAACAUUUAAAGAGUUAAUAC
Non-coding RNA from Ailuropoda melanoleuca (giant panda), 114 nucleotides. The record is from Rfam. Lineage: Eukaryota; Metazoa; Chordata; Mammalia; Carnivora; Ursidae.